This 216-nucleotide unclassified non-coding RNA is filed under the name soil metagenome. Its description in RNAcentral is "partial contains 5.8S ribosomal RNA, internal transcribed spacer 2, and large subunit ribosomal RNA". The record is from RNAcentral.
AACAAGGCGUACCUGCGGACCUGCGGAAGGAUCAUUACAGAGUUGCAAAACUCCCUAAACCAUUGUGAACCUACCUUCUACCGUUGCUUCGGCGGGCGGGCCUAGCGCCCCCCCGGCCCCCCGCGGGCGCCCGCCGGAGGAUAACCAAACUCUUGACAUCAGUGGCCUCUCUGAGUAUUCUUUACUGAAUAAGUCAAAACUUUCAGCAACGGAUCU